AUAGCAAUUCCCUUUUUUCGGGUAGAAUGCCCGAUUUCCGUAUUAUUACAGGCUAAAUCACACACAUGCGACUUGAUAAAUUUAUCGCUCAGCAGCUUGGCGUCAGCCGCGCUA
RNAcentral lists this small RNA (114 nucleotides) under Salmonella enterica subsp. enterica serovar Typhi. Its description in RNAcentral is "StyR-77". Lineage: Bacteria; Pseudomonadati; Pseudomonadota; Gammaproteobacteria; Enterobacterales; Enterobacteriaceae. The record is from RNAcentral.